This 978-nucleotide ribosomal RNA is filed under the name Echinoparyphium cinctum. RNAcentral's name for it is "eukaryotic LSU rRNA". It matches the Rfam family "Eukaryotic large subunit ribosomal RNA", at positions 333 to 941 of the family's 3401-position model. Lineage: Eukaryota; Metazoa; Platyhelminthes; Trematoda; Plagiorchiida; Echinostomatidae. The record is from RNAcentral.
UCCGAUAGCGAACAAGUACCGUGAGGGAAAGUUGAAAAGUACUUUGAAGAGAGAGUAAACAGUGCGUGAAACCGCUCAGAGGUAAACGGGUGGAGUUGAACUGCAAGCUCUGAGGAUUCAGCUGGUGAGUUUGGCAUGAGCUUGGUCAUGUGGGUUGUGUGUUCGGGUCUGCUUAGCUGCAGGUCCUCGCCUUUGGUGGGGAUGCGCGUAUCGCUUAUCAAGCGUUGUGCGCCCGUUCUUAUCGGACCUGCUCGCCAGUGCACUUUCUCAGAGUGUUCACCACGACCGGCGUUGUCGUCUGGCUGGUGCGGUUAAACCGGCCUUGUAGGGUCCUUGUGGCCUUGCCUGGUCGGGAUGGCAGGUAGCCCGUUGUGUACUUCGGUGUGCUUCGGGUGUAAUAGCCGACUGCAUCGGUUCUGUGCGAUACGUCGGAGACGGCGGCUUGUUGUGCGUGCGGGCGUGCCUGUUGCGCUGGCGGCUCUGGGUCUGGUUGCCUUGUUGCUUGUAAAUGCAAGCCAGGUGAUGGCCUGGGGUCGUUUGGUGUGCGGUUGCGUUCGUGGCACUUUAAAGGGCCUACAGUCUGUGGUGUAGUGGUAGACUAUCCACCUGACCCGUCUUGAAACACGGACCAAGGAGAGUAACAUGUGCGCGAGUCAUUGGGCGUUACGAAACCCAAAGGCGAAGUGAAAGUAAAGGUUCGGCUUGUCUGGACUGAGGUGAGAUCCUGUCGUUUCUCACGCGUGGUACUACCAAGCAUCGAGCGGCAGGCGCAUCACCGGCCCGUCCCAUGACGUAGAAGUGGCCUCGUGCUUGCUCAUCGUCGGGGCGGAGCAUGAGCGUACAUGUUGAGACCCGAAAGAUGGUGAACUAUGCUUGCGCAGGUUGAAGCCAGAGGAAACUCUGGUGGAGGACCGCAGCGAUUCUGACGUGCAAAUCGAUCGUCAAACGUGAGUAUAGGGGCGAAAGACUAAUCGAACC